UACGUAGGGACCGAGCGUUGUCCGGAAUCAUUGGGCGUAAAGAGCGUGUAGGCGGCCACUUAAGUCCUGCGUGAAAUCUUGCGGCUCAACCGCAAGCGGUCGUGGGAAACUGGGUGGCUAGAGUGCGGGAGAGGAGAGUGGAAUUCCUGGUGUAGCGGUGGAAUGCGCAGAUAUCAGGAAGAACACCCGUGGCGAAGGCGGCUCUCUGGACCAUAACUGACGCUGAGGCGCGAAAGCUAGGGGAGCAAACAGG
This 253-nucleotide ribosomal RNA is filed under the name uncultured bacterium. Its description in RNAcentral is "partial 16S ribosomal RNA". It matches the Rfam family "Bacterial small subunit ribosomal RNA", at positions 524 to 776 of the family's 1533-position model. The record is from RNAcentral.